RNAcentral lists this ribosomal RNA (499 nucleotides) under uncultured bacterium. Its description in RNAcentral is "bacterial SSU rRNA". It matches the Rfam family "Bacterial small subunit ribosomal RNA", at positions 903 to 1397 of the family's 1533-position model. The record is from RNAcentral.
AAAUGAAUAGACGGGGGCCCGCACAAGCGGUGGAGCAUGUGGUUUAAUUCGACGCAACGCGAAGAACCUUACCAGGGUUUGACAUCCUCUGACAGCCUAUGAAAGUAGGUUUUUCAUCUUCGGAUGGACAGGGAGACAGGUGGUGCAUGGUUGUCGUCAGCUCGUGUCGUGAGAUGUUGGGUUAAGUCCCGCAACGAGCGCAACCCCUACGUUUAGUUGCUAACACGUAAAGGUGAGAACUCUAGACGAACUGCCGUUGACAAAACGGAGGAAGGUGGGGAUGACGUCAAAUCAUCAUGCCCCUUAUAUCCUGGGCUACACACGUGCUACAAUGGCCGGUACAAAGGGAAGCAAGGCCGCGAGGCGGAGCGAAUCCCAAAAAGCCGGUCUCAGUUCGGAUUGCAGGCUGCAAUUCGCCUGCAUGAAGUCGGAAUCGCUAGUAAUCGCAGGUCAGCAUACUGCGGUGAAUACGUUCCCGGGCCUUGUACACACCGCCCGU